Molecule: ribosomal RNA, 372 nt
Filed under: uncultured bacterium
Lineage: Bacteria
Description: bacterial SSU rRNA
Rfam family: Bacterial small subunit ribosomal RNA
Source: RNAcentral
UACGGAGGGUGCAAGCGUUAUCCGGAUUUACUGGGUUUAAAGGGUGCGUAGGUGGGUUGGGUAGUCAGUGGUGAAAUACUUUCGCUUAACGAAGGAACUGCCAUUGAUACUCCCAAUCUUGAAUACAGUGGAGGUGGGCGGAAUGCGUCAUGUAGUGGUGAAAUACUUAGAUAUGACGCAGAACACCUAUUGCGAAGGCAGCUCGCUACACUGUCAUUGACACUGAGGCACGAAAGCGUGGGGAUCAAACAGGAUUAGAUACCCUGGUAGUCCACGCCCUAAACGAUGAUUACUCGAUCUCAGCGAUACACUGUUGGGGUCUAUGUGAAAACAUUAAGUAAUCCACCUGGGGAGUACGAUCGCAAGAUUGAA